UUUUUUAAUUGGAAGCUAGAAUGAAUGGUUGAAUAAGAAAUUAACUGUUUCAAUAAAAAUUAUAAUUGAAUUUUUUUUUUAGUUAAAAAACUUAAAUAAAUUUAAAAGACGAGAAGACCCUAUAGAGUUUUAUAUUAAAAUUAUUACAUUUAUAAGUAAAAUGUAAGAUUUAAUAAUUAAUAUAUUUUAUUGGGGUGAUAAUAAUAUUAAAAAAACUAUUAUUUUUUAAAACAUUAAUUUAUGGUUAUUUGAUCCAAUUUUAUUGAUUAAAAAUUUAAAUUACCUUAGGGAUAACAGCGUAAUAUUUUUGGAGAGUUCAAAUCGAUAAAAAUGGUUGC
This 338-nucleotide ribosomal RNA is filed under the name Aspistes berolinensis. RNAcentral's name for it is "partial 16S ribosomal RNA". The record is from RNAcentral. Lineage: Eukaryota; Metazoa; Arthropoda; Insecta; Diptera; Scatopsidae.